ACCUCGCUUCAGCGGCAGGUGUGCUGUGAGAUUGGGACGAAGCAGAGAGGAUCAGCAUGCCCCCUGUGCAAGGCUGACACGCAAAUCCACGAAGUGUUCCCUAGUUUA
Erinaceus europaeus (western European hedgehog) is the source of this 108-nucleotide small nuclear RNA. The record is from Ensembl. Lineage: Eukaryota; Metazoa; Chordata; Mammalia; Eulipotyphla; Erinaceidae.